AUAGCAUCUGCACAUCAGAAAGGGCUGGAUGGAUCAAAACAAGGAUCGCAGGAGAGGAACUGCAAGGCACUGAGCGGCCACUCUAAGUCCCAGGGACCUCGAAGUCUUUAUCCUGCUGAAUGCUCACAAACCACCUCUGAGGCAGGACCGGUCUCCUCACUUCACACGUGAGAGAGUCAACAUUCAGAAAAGUCAGUGCUGAAGCCUGAAGUCACAGGUUGGGUGGACAAUGGAGCCAGGCUUUUCCCAGAUCUCGCUGAAUAAACUGCUCACGGGCUUUCUAUUCUACUGUAUGUUGCUGAGAUGACCGUCCCAGAAUGGCCCCACCCUUGCUAAACUGGGAGCUGCCUGGAACUAAGGGAAGUCUCAGAAGUUUCUAAUGGAGCAUCCCCUGACUCCCACCAUACUGCUACCCAUGGAGAGAAUUUACGGUUUGGGAUUGCUGGUGCAACGUACAGCGGCUGCACAACAAGCCAAGAAGACCCAAUGAUUCAUGGCUGAUGAAGACCACCAGGGAGAAGGAUUCUCUCCUACUUGGG
RNAcentral lists this long non-coding RNA (539 nucleotides) under Homo sapiens (human). Its description in RNAcentral is "HSALNT0037136". The record is from RNAcentral. Lineage: Eukaryota; Metazoa; Chordata; Mammalia; Primates; Hominidae.